RNAcentral lists this ribosomal RNA (466 nucleotides) under uncultured bacterium. Its description in RNAcentral is "partial 16S ribosomal RNA". It matches the Rfam family "Bacterial small subunit ribosomal RNA", at positions 29 to 507 of the family's 1533-position model. The record is from RNAcentral.
AAUGAACGCUGGCGGCGUGCUUAACACAUGCAAGUCGAACGAUGACGCCCGGCUUGCUGGCUCGAGGAGUGGCGAACGGGUGAAUAACGCGUGAGUAACCUGCACUUAACUCUGGGAUAAGCCUUGAAACCUGGGACUAAUACCGGAUAGGAGCGUCCACCGCCUGGUGGGUGUUGGAGAGAUUUAUCGGUUUUGGAUGGACUCGCGGCCAAUCAGCUUGUUGUUGUGGUAUGGGCUCACGGAGGCGACGACCGGUAGCCGGCCUGAGAAGGGGACCGGCCACACUGGGACUGAGACACGGCCCAGACUCCUACGGUAGGCAGCGGUGGGGAAUAUUGUACAAUGGGCGCAAGGCUGAUGCAGCGACGCCGCGUGAGGGAUGACGGGCUUCGGGUUGUAAACCUCUUUCCGUAGGGAAGAAGCGAUAGUGACGGUACCUGCAGAAGAAGCACCGGCUAACUACGUG